This 30-nucleotide non-coding RNA is filed under the name Mus musculus (house mouse). Lineage: Eukaryota; Metazoa; Chordata; Mammalia; Rodentia; Muridae. The record is from RNAcentral.
GCCAUGUCUCUCUUCUCUGUAGAUUCAAGU